GCUCGUAGUUGGAUUUCGGGUGGGUUCUAGCGGUCCGCCUAUGGUGAGCACUGCUAUGGCCUUCCUUUCUGUCGGGGACCUGCUUCUGGGCUUCAUUGUCCGGGACAGGGAUUCGACGAGGUUACUUUGAGUAAAUUAGAGUGUUCAAAGCAGGCUUACGCCCUGAAUACUUUAGCAUGGAAUAACACGAUAGGACUCUGCUCUAUUGUGUUGGCCUGUAGAUGUGGAGUAAUGAUUAAGAGGGACAGUCGGGGGCAUUCGUAUUUCAUUGUCAGAGGUGAAAUUCUUGGAUUUAUGAAAGACGAACUACUGCGAAAGCAUUUGCCAAGGAUGUUUUCAUUAAUCAAGAACGAAAGUUGGGGGCUCGAAGACGAUUAGAUACCGUCGUAGUCUCAACCAUAAACGAUGCCGACUAGGGAUUGGCGGAUGUUUUUUUAAUGACUCCGCCA
Molecule: ribosomal RNA, 449 nt
Filed under: Scenedesmus sp. GW62
Lineage: Eukaryota; Viridiplantae; Chlorophyta; Chlorophyceae; Sphaeropleales; Scenedesmaceae
Also listed under: 1 other name
Description: SSU rRNA
Rfam family: Eukaryotic small subunit ribosomal RNA
Source: RNAcentral